AGUGAACGCUGGCGGCAGGCCUAACACAUGCAAGUCGAGCGGCAGCGCGGGGCAACCUGGCGGCGAGCGGCGGACGGGUGAGGAAUACGUCGGAAUCUGCCUUUUUGUGGGGGAUAACGUAGGGAAACUUACGCUAAUACCGCAUACGACCUACGGGUGAAAGUGGGGGACCGCAAGGCCUCACGCAGAAAGAUGAGCCGACGGCCGAUUAGCUAGUUGGCGAGGUAAUGGCUCACCAAGGCGACGAUCGGUAGCUGGUCUGAGAGGAUGAUCAGCCACACUGGGACUGAGACACGGCCCAGAUUCCUACGGGAGGCAGCAGUGGGGAAUAUUGGACAAUGGGCGCAAGCCUGAUCCAGCCAUGCCGCGUGUGUGAAGAAGGCCUUCGGGUUGUAAAGCACUUUUGUCCGGAAAGAAAUCCUGAAGAUUAAUACUCUUUGGGGAUGACGGUACCGGAAGAAUAAGCACCGGCUAACUUCGUGCCAGCCGCCGCCGUAA
This 498-nucleotide ribosomal RNA is filed under the name uncultured bacterium. RNAcentral's name for it is "partial 16S ribosomal RNA". It matches the Rfam family "Bacterial small subunit ribosomal RNA", at positions 29 to 523 of the family's 1533-position model. The record is from RNAcentral.